This 497-nucleotide ribosomal RNA is filed under the name uncultured bacterium. Its description in RNAcentral is "partial 16S ribosomal RNA". It matches the Rfam family "Bacterial small subunit ribosomal RNA", at positions 28 to 507 of the family's 1533-position model. The record is from RNAcentral.
GAUGAACGCUGGCGGCGUGCCUAAUACAUGCAAGUCGAGCGAACGGACGAGAAGCUUGCUUCUCUGAUGUUAGCGGCGGACGGGUGAGUAACACGUGGAUAACCUACCUAUAAGACUGGGAUAACUUCGGGAAACCGGAUCUAAUACCGGAUAAUAUUUUGAACCGCAUGGUUCAAAAGUGAAAGACGGUCUUGCGGUCACUUAUAGAUGGAUCCGCGCUGCAUUAGCUAGUUGGUAAGGUAACGGCUUACCAAGGCAACGAUGCAUAGCCGACCUGAGAGGGUGAUCGGCCACACUGGAACUGAGACACGGUACAGACUCCUACGGGAGGCAGCAGUAGGGAAUCGUCCGCCAUGGGCGAAAGCCUGACGGAGCAACGCCGCGUGAGUGAUGAAGGUCUUCGGAUCGUAAAACUCUGUUAUUAGGGAAGAACAUAUGUGUAAGUAACUGUGAACAUCCUGACGGUACCUACUCAGAAAGCCACGGCUAACUACGUG